Molecule: ribosomal RNA, 449 nt
Filed under: uncultured bacterium
Lineage: Bacteria
Description: partial 16S ribosomal RNA
Rfam family: Bacterial small subunit ribosomal RNA
Source: RNAcentral
AACGAACGCUGGCGGCAGGCUUAACACAUGCAAGUCGAACGCCACCUUCGGGUGGAGUGGCAGACGGGUGAGUAACGCGUGGGAACGUACCUUUUGCUUCGGAAUAUUCCCGGGAAACUGGGAGCAAUACCGAAUAAGCCCUGAGGGGGAAAGAUUUAUCGGCAAAAGAUCGGCCCGCGUUAGAUUAGGUAGUUGGUGGGGUAAUGGCCUACCAAGCCUACGAUCUAUAGCUGGUCUGAGAGGAUGAUCAGCCACAUUGGGACUGAGACACGGCCCAAACUCCUACGGGAGGCAGCAGUGGGGAAUAUUGGACAAUGGGCGCAAGCCUGAUCCAGCCAUGCCGCGUGAAUGAUGAAGGCCUUAGGGUUGUAAAAUUCUUUCAACGGGGACGAUAAUGACGGUACCCGUAGAAGAAGCCCCGGCUAACUUCGUGCCAGCAGCCGCAGUAA